CUCUGCAUGUAGAAGCAUGACUAAAGUUUGUUAGCACAGUAACAACUUUGGUUUACUACUUCAAAUCUGAACUCUUCUGCCAAAGCUUCACAGGUACAGGAAAUGUACAGAAAUUUGGUAUGGAUUGGUAGAGCACAAGCUGGUAGAUCAAGGAAGAAAAUUUCAUUUAUCCUUCUAUGUCACUUCAACUUUUGGAUGAUAAAGUUAAAUCUCUUCUUCUGAAUUUGUUCUGCUGUAACAGACUGAUGCCUGAGCAGGUGGGGAGGAAUGAUUGCUUCCUCACAAUUGAUGUGAUUCCAGUUUCACUGCAACCAGGUGAAGAGUAUGAGCUGCAUAAAAAGCAAAAUUCUGAGACAACAAAGUGAAAAAAAAAGUGAUCAACCAAGGAGAAUGGAGCAAAUCCUACUCCACAGAUGAAGACUUUACCAUCAGACCAGUUGUUCUUACAGUAACUGCCUUCAGGAUUUAAGUCAAGACCCCAGUAUGCUGCUCUGAAAACUGGUAAAAGAAAUGGUGAGCACCCUUCCUCUUUUCUUUUUGCCUUUGAAAAAUGCAAUUGACCUUUUAGAGAGCAGCCAUUCUUCCAGCUGCUCCUUUGCUGUGCUGCUGCCAACCAAAAUAUUCUAUACACACCUUUGCAAAAACCUACUGUUUACUUGCUCUGUGUGCGUAUAUCACCUAUUAUUAAAUGGGUUUUUUUUGCAGUAGCUAUGAGGGUGUGAUUUUCAUGAAUGGGCUUGUUUGCCUGCCACACUUGGCUGUUGAUAUUUCUAUUGAAAAAGUUCUGUCAGCUCUUUGUCUUUACAGGAAAUUGUUGUUUAUGAAGGUUUCCUUUCUUCUCAGAGAGGAGCAGGUCAGUGUGCAGUGUUGCUGUAGCAGUAUGUUUAGCCUCUGGGUGUUGCUCUUGGACAGCGCUGUUGUCAGACAGCAGACUGCUAUUUUGCAGAAGAGUUACUGAAGCUGCUUGUUGUUGGAUGAAGAGUGUCAAAAUGCAGAAUGUAAUAGGCAAGCAGCAGCACCAGGGAAAUUGGGGAACCCUCAGGUACAAUAAUAUAGUCCACAGCAGAUAGAAGAUACCCUUGGCAGGCUCAUGUUUGAUAUUAUUCUUGGUUUUCUGUCCUUAAACCAAAAUUAGAUUUUUUUUUUAAUGUGGAAUAGUGUGUAAGAUUCUCAUCCUCUUUUCAUUAUAAUUUGCUGAUUUUUUGAUUUCUGUGAAGUGUACAUAACCAAAGACAGUAAAAUAUAAAAA
Non-coding RNA from Cyanistes caeruleus (blue tit), 1249 nucleotides. Lineage: Eukaryota; Metazoa; Chordata; Aves; Passeriformes; Paridae. The record is from RefSeq and is a predicted model, not a curated record.